GCCGGGAUAGCUCAGUUGGGAGAGCGACAGACUGAAGUGGGUGCUAACUCUGCUUUCUGCAGGUCGCGCGUUCAAUUCGCGCUCUUGGCA
Postia placenta Mad-698-R is the source of this 90-nucleotide non-coding RNA. The record is from Rfam. NCBI's taxonomy places the organism in Eukaryota, Fungi, Basidiomycota, Agaricomycetes, Polyporales, Adustoporiaceae.